GGAAUAGCUCAGCGGUAGAGCAGCGGACUGUUAAUCCGUUGGUCGCAGGUUCGAAUCCUGCUUC
RNAcentral lists this transfer RNA (64 nucleotides) under zebrafish metagenome. It matches the Rfam family "tRNA", at positions 5 to 66 of the family's 71-position model. From Rfam's summary of the family: Transfer RNA (tRNA) molecules are approximately 80 nucleotides in length. Their secondary structure includes four short double-helical elements and three loops (D, anti-codon, and T loops). The record is from RNAcentral.